UAUAAAGGACCUAGAUGAGGAUAAUAUGAUGGGGACAAAUCAGCACGAUUUCUAUAGCCUCUCGGAUUUCUUUGAAAUAGUUAACAAAUAAUGGAUAAAGGAGAACCAGUGGAUAUAAUUUAUUUAAACUUUCAAAAGGGUUGGAUAAAGUCUUUUAAAGGAGGCAAUUAAGGAAUCUUGCUAACAAUGGGGUAGGAUGUAAAGUCUUGCCAUGGAUUUAAAACUGAUUUAAAGACUGAAAGUUGAAAGUAAGAUUAAAUGCCCAUUUCUUGCUGCUGGAAGGAGACAAUAAUGGCUGUUCAGGAGUGGGGCUAGGAAUGGUAGGCUUCAUUAUUUUUAACAUAUAUAUUUUAUUAAAUUGCUAUUGUGCAUAGAAUAUGAUUAAGUAGUAUUCCCUAGGAAAUACUGUAGGUUAAUAUUAAGUAUCUGUGUUAUAGAGACUGCUCUAGUGCUGUCAUGCUGUAUUCAAAAGGAGAAGAAACAGGAAAAUAGAGGGAACAAUAGCAAUAACACUUCCCCCAAAAGAUGCUUCUCCACUGAAAAAAACAUGACCUGCUUCCUGCACCACCUAAUCUAAACCAGCACAGUUCAUGAAACACAUCAGCCCUGAUCCAAGAACAAAAUCAAAUCUCAGUCUAAAAUGUCCAGGGGAGUUUUGUCCAUCCUUUGAACUUGGCAUAUCUGCCCGUUUACUGCAAUCAGCCCUCGCUGCGGUGGAGCUGUGAUCUCUGCUGGGGCUGGCAUCAAGGCACUCCAUGGCCAAGGCAGCUCUAGCCUCAGGUAGGGCUGGGGAGGAGAAGGAGAAAUUGCAGAACAUCUCUGCAAACCUGGACUAGUCCAGAUAAUAAAAUUUUGAAUGAGAUUUUUCAUAGAAAAGGUAAAAUAUGUAUCACAGAAAUGUGCAUACAUUUAGAGCAAACUUGUAAGCCCUGAAUCUGUCAUAACUCAUCAGGAGAGUGACACUGGUGUUGUCCCACUCAGGACCAUGAGGACGCCUCUGGGUGCAGAAAAAGACAGGGAAGUCUGCACCAUGCUGACUGUGUCCUUAUCUUCAAGACACUGGCCCCAAUAACAGGUGUCCUCCCCCAGCAUCUAGCAGAGAUGGACAAAUUUUCAGAACAGUUAGGGGUGUUGAGUGCGAAAUUGUGGAUGAGAAAAAAUUAAAACCUGGGACUAUUUUAUAUGGGGAGAAGAAGGAUGAUCAAUUACAGAAUGAGGACUACAACAAAGGCUGGUCAGAGGCUUGCACUUGCUAUCCUGGAAGUCAAAAAUCCCCUGCAUUUAAUGUCUGUGUUGCAGGAGAGGGAGUGGAGAACCCUUCUCUCCCUUGGUAACAGGAAUCUCUUGGCACAGGAUAUUGCUGCAGACAGCCAGUUCUUAAAUCUCAUAGCAGGGUGCAUUAUCAUAAAGAGUAUCAUGUAACAGAGUUAGCUGAGGUCUGCCUGGUACUGAAUAACACCAAAUAAAACCCUUCCAGUUAGUCACUCUACCCCCAAAUUUCUGCACCUUGAAUUCCGUAUGCUCCUGAUGAAUGGGGCUAUCAGGAAUGAGACUCAAUGCCAUGGACUAUAUUUAAGCACAGUAGCAGAAUGAUAUUUUGAUGCUUAAUUUCUUUGAUCUUCUGUUGAAUUUAAAUUUGCCUACAGUGGUUCCCCAGUUUCAAUUAGUACACAAAACAAACUUUGCGUAUUUUCUGAGAUUAUGUUCUUCAUUAUAUGUUGCUGUAGUUUUAUGUGUUGUUGCCAAGAAAUCUGCUUUUGACAAAUUGCACAGGAGGCAUUUUGAGAUUGUGAUGGAGUUGAUUGAGUUUUGGCCAAAUCCUGUACACUUUUAUCACUGAAGACUGAAAUACAGAUGCUUGUUACAUUAAAAUAUAUAGAAUUUGCUUUGGCCCUGAAAAUCUGUGUCACAUUUUAAAAUAACCAAUUUGGGUACAAUUUGAGUUAAGUGGCAAGUAAACAAUGCAAAUGAAACUGUUUUGUUAGCUAGAAAGUAAUUGAAAAUCUGCAACUAAUUAUAAAUUGGCAAUAUACAAGUCUCCAGGAAGCUGAAAGGAAUACUUUGCUGAUAUAUUGUUUAGUUAUAUUCAAAAUUAACUUACUCUGCAGUUUGUGCAAGAGAUUUUAUUGCUUAUUGUAACUUUACUUUUGAAAAAUGAAACAACUCGUAUUUCAUACGAGAAAAAGUGUAAUUUUUUAAUCAAAGACAACCCUUGUUAUGUUACAUGAUUUUUAUUUUUUUUAUUUCACAUGAGUCUUGAGCUUCAGCUUUCAUAUGGAGGUUUGAAUUUCUUCAGUGUUUAUCAGUAUUCUAAGUUUUGAUUGGCACCUUCAUUGUGUUUUUCAACUCAUCACCUCAACACAUUUCUCAUACAUUAAUGUAGCUGUACAAUACCUUUGAGAAAGAAGAAUGUGUUGUCACACACGAGAAGGAAUUCUUUGCUUGUAUUUGGUUUAGGAAAGUGUGGGACAUUGUCGAUGCCACCUAGAUCUGUAACACUAGAAACUAGUCAAAACAUCCAGAUAAUUGUCGUGUGGGUUUGUGUUGCCAGAAUGUGUGCCAUGUGCAGAUGUCAGGUUUUGGUGAAUAUCAGCUGUUGUGAUUGAAGAAUUGUUAUUUAAAAGGAACAUAUAAAUACACAAGUUUUGAUAAAUCAAUGUGAGUAAUUACCCAGUAACCCAGUUUACCAAUCCUUGAUGUACAUAACAUCAUUCAAAAAGCAUUUCCCAGAAUCUGGAGAAGUGCAGGGGGAGAAAUACUUUUCUUAGAAUGCUCUGAACUAUCCUUUAUCCCAGAGCAGCAGGCCAUGAUGGAAAGCUCAAUGCUAUCUCUAUUUUGGUCUUGUCACCAAAAGCCCCAAGAGACUCCACAGCAAGCAUGGACCCAAAGUCCUUCCAUGAUAAAUAAACAUUCUCAAGCUUUCCCAAACUCAGAGUUGUUCAGGUAUGAUGCAGAGGAUGCAAAGCAGGUUUGUGGGGGAGCAAAGUAACCCAGAAGUUACUGUUGUAUCAUUCUGUAUUAUACAAAUGGGCAAGAAAAAGAGUAUAAAGAUUAAAAAUUACUUCCUUUAUUCAGAUAGAAUAUGAGUAAGAGCCGCAGGGAGAACUCCAGACUCACAGUGCCAGGGUAACCAUCAUUAUGUUGUAUUCACCCACUUGGCAAUUGGUUUCUCUGAAUAAACAUUUCACUGAUAUGUGCUCUCCUUUAACAAACCUUGACUCAAAGAAAUUUCAGACUGGAAUUUUCUACAGCCCUCUGCUGUUUCCCCAUAAACUAGUGCUGAUUAAGUGAGUCAUAUAUUCUUCUGAUAUUAAAUUUUUAAUAUAAAGUCUUGUAGUCAACAACUAGUAGAGAUACCUUUUGAAACCUGUGAAACACCACUUAGAAAUGGUUCAGCACUGUCCUGUGAUACAGUGUGGGCUCAGAUAUGAUGCUUGUAGAGCUGUGUAGGGGCCAAGCAAGCUGGGAAGAUGUUUCCUAGUCAGUCCCGCGCUGAGGAAAUCUGGACAGUCUGUCAUUAAAAGGAAAAGGCUUCAGCCAAGGAAUAGACAUCUUUUCUUUCUGCAGUAAACAUUCCCAGACAGGCCAGUCUCACAGUCCUUACAUAAGUAGCUCCUGUGAGUACAGGUUGCAGGAUGAAAUCCAUAAAUACCAGGCUUAAACAAGCGAAUCUGCAUCCAGAGCAUUUUAAUAAAAAGUUAGCUUGGGUCGUGGGGAAGGAGGGGAUGAAGCACUGGGGGAAUGGAGAAUAUGAGUCAUGGCAUCCAGACUGAAACAAAUCUUUGAGCACGAAUCACAAUAUAAAAUUUUAAGGGCUUGAUCCUGCCUUUGGCUAUGCUGGUGUGUAUUGUUACAUAUCCUGUAAAAUCGACUACUGUUACAUGUUAUGUGGUACUGUGCACCCACAUAACUAAGCUCUGAGCUCUUGGUUUUUACAGCCUUUAUUUUUUAAAUCCUGUAAAUGCUGCUGGACUUGGCUUUUCAGAAUGUUGAACAGAUGCAGCAAGAUUUUCCUAUACUUCCUACCCACUUACAACCCCGAAUAAUUAGUGGAUGUGUUGCACUUUUCGAUAAAGACUUCUUAGAGAGCUGUUUGGUGAAUAAGGCCACACAGAAUGUGUCAUUGUUUCUGCUGCAGGUUUUGAGUUUAUUUGUGUAUUAUGGGUACUGUAUACCACAUAAUAAUGAAAAGCUAUAUGCUCCGGUCUGCUGGUUCACUACACAGUCUGUGUGAUUACAAAUUGUUUGAAUAACAGUGGACUAUUGAAACUCUUUCCAGAUGUGCGUGUUGCUAAUUAUGGGAAUACCCACAAAGGCGGAUUAUCUCUUUUGUUAGCAUUUCCAACCCGUUAAAAACCAGGAAAGUGAAAAGCAUGUAGGCAGCAAAUAAGAAGUAGCCGUACAUGUCAGAGAUGAAGACUUUCAUAAUUAAUUCCCAGGGAAGAAAAACUCUUGACCUGGCAGGAUGCAUUUCUGGAGUGUAACCACAUGCAAUUUAAUGCACGGGACAGAUAUCCCAAAGUGGCAGAUUCUGAAACAGUCCCAGAAAAGGCAUAACAUCAUUCACAGCAGGGAGAGCCCAGGUAAAGAAGGACAUGAUGGGGAGAGGGAUCUGAGCUAUUGUCAGUUUUCUGCAAUAUUUAUUAAAAAAAUAUUUCAAUAACUUGAUGUGAGGUUUUGGAAGGACAGGUAGGGGCAAAUGUGAUCAUGUCUUUCCAGAAUUUAAGUCCUUUAGAUUUAGUGAGCUGGACCACUAUCCAGAGGGGCCUUUAGAAUGAACAGCACUCUGAGUAUGAAGGACUCAGUGUGUUUCCAGGCACCACACUGGGAUGACGAUGUUUUCACAUUGUCUUCCAGAAGUGCUGUCUACUGGCUUUGGACAAGGGACAACAUCAUGUCUAGUCAUAAAGUGACCCUCAAUCACUUUUUCUCUUUGCUUCAUUUCAUGAGUUGCCAUGAAUCGCACAGGAGAUGAAAUGCAGGAGGUAGAAGGAGAAAAUGCCAGUGGCAAAAAUUCAGUGUGGGAUCCAAACUGUUUGAGAAAAACAUAGGAACAGAUGAAAGAAAGGCUGUUGAAUGGCUUAGCUACCUGUCUCCUUAACAGCUUGUGAUGAGGGGGUUCUCUGGAGGAGAGAGAAGAUAUCUGAAUUCAGACUUAACCCCAUUUUGUAUAGCUUAAUUUAAAUAAAAAUGAUGUGUUUCCUCCUGA
Corvus hawaiiensis (hawaiian crow) is the source of this 5209-nucleotide long non-coding RNA. RefSeq lists it as uncharacterized. The record is from RefSeq and is a predicted model, not a curated record. The transcript is spliced from 2 exons. Lineage: Eukaryota; Metazoa; Chordata; Aves; Passeriformes; Corvidae.